Molecule: ribosomal RNA, 557 nt
Filed under: Golovinomyces tabaci
Lineage: Eukaryota; Fungi; Ascomycota; Leotiomycetes; Helotiales; Erysiphaceae
Description: partial large subunit ribosomal RNA
Rfam family: Eukaryotic large subunit ribosomal RNA
Source: RNAcentral
UUACCUCAGUAACGGCGAGUGAAGCGGUAACAGCUCAAAUUUGAAAUCUGGCUCCUGCGGAGUCCGAGUUGUAAUUUGUAGAAGAUGCUUUGGGAGGUAGGCUCGGCCUAAGUUCCUUGGAACAGGACAUCAGAGAGGGUGAGAAUCCCGUAUGUGGCCGUGGCCUACGCCCGUGUAAAGCUCUUUCGACGAGUCGAGUUGUUUGGGAAUGCAGCUCAAAAUGGGUGGUAAAUUUCAUCUAAAGCUAAAUAUUGGCCAGAGACCGAUAGCGCACAAGUAGAGUGAUCGAAAGAUGAAAAGCACUUUGGAAAGAGAGUUAAACAGUACGUGAAAUUGUUGAAAGGGAAGCGCUUGCACCCAGACUUGGGCGUCGUCGAUCAUCCGAGGUUCUCCUCGGUGCACUCGGCGAGGCACAGGCCAGCAUCGGUUUGGAUGGUUGGAGAAAGGCUCUAGGAACGUAGCUCUCUUCGGGGAGUGUUAUAGCCUAGGGCGUAAUGCAGCCCAUCUGGACCGAGGACCGCGCCUUCGGGCUAGGAUGCUGGCGUAAUGGUUGCAAG